Molecule: long non-coding RNA, 2215 nt
Organism: Bos grunniens (domestic yak)
Lineage: Eukaryota; Metazoa; Chordata; Mammalia; Artiodactyla; Bovidae
Source: Ensembl
AUCGGGGAGGCCCGCUCAGCAGCGGCCGGGUCUGGAGUGGCCGCGGGUGGGAGGGCGCCGAGACCUCCGCACCCCUCAGCCCAGCCCCCAGGCCCCGCGCGCACGCACGCACGCACGCACGCCCUCCCGGUCAAUGGGGGGUCCUGGAAGCCCCUCGGGCCCCCGGGCCCGGCCAGGCGCUUGCUGGUCUGGUGUUGGCGGUGUUCGGGGGGGCGGGCCGGCGUCAGCAGGCUGGAGUCCGGUCGCGGGUCGUGCGGCUCAAGUACAGCACGCCCCGCGACGAGAGGUGCGGCCCGUUGGCCCGACCUGCAGGGCAGAGCGAAAGGGAGGCGAAGCGCAAGGCUCUUAGGGCGCCCCGAGCCCACCGCCACCGUCUCAGGCCGUAUCAGCCUGAAGGCGCCCGAUCUCGUCUGAUCUCGGAAGCUAAGCAGGGUCGGGCCUGGUUAGGAUCUUGGAUGGGAGACCACCUGGGAAUCCCGGGUGCUCGAGGCUUUUUGCCUACCAGAAGAGGUCCUUUAGCCCCCGCCGCGCGUCCCGAUUCUUGGAUCCCCCGCAGCCCCAGCCCCUCCCGGGCCCGGGGGGGCGGGUGGCCGGGGCCCCGACUCCCGCUGCAGACCUGGGUUGCCUCCGCGCGGCCCGCGAGCCCCUCCGCAUUCGCAUUCGGCUUCCAGGACACCCGACGACCGGCAGUCCCGUCUCCAUCUGGGGCUCCUUUGGCUUGCCUCAGGCAAUCCCGGGGCUUGCACCGACUCCAGCCAGAGCCCCAGCCCCCGCCCCACCCCCUGCCUCGCAGGCCAUCGCGCAUGCGCAUGUGCGCACGCACGCACAGAUAGAUGUGCCCAAACGGGGCAUCUAUCUUGUUCACUUAUACCGUGGGUGGAUCUAUGCCUGGGAGUCGGACUGCUGGACCAUAGGCUACUUCCACUUUUAGUUCCUUCGGGAACCUCCAUAUUCUUUUCCAUACCGGCUCUCCCCACGCCCAUUCCUACUCACCGUGGAGGAGAGUCCCCUUUGCUCCACAUCUUCUCCAGCAUUGGUUAUUGACAGACAUCGCAGUGAGGCCCAAUCGGACUCAUGUGAAGUGGUCCCUCCUUGGAGUUUGGAGUUGAGCCUCUCCAAUCAUUAGUGAUGUGGAGCAAGAUGACCUUUUGGAAAUGCAGAUGCAAUGCUGUCACCUCCCUGCUCCAACGGCUCUCGUAUUUUCCCAGCAUAUUGAAGAUACGACCACCUCCCUUCAGGCUUGCUCCUCACGUUCUUCUCUGAUGUCUUUUGCCUGGAAUGCCCUCUGCACUCUUUGGCUUCCAUCCCAUAGGGCAUUUUUCGUUUCUUGAAUGUCCUAAGUGUUCCUGGUCACAUAGCCUUCCAAGAUGCUAUUUUCCCGGCCUGAAAUUCUUCCUGCAUCUCAACCCUGGUUUACCUAGGUUCAACCUAUGGACCUCAACGAAAUGGUUCCUCUGGAGAGCCUUCCCUGACACCCAGGUUUUGUGGUGAGGGAAGAGGCCCCUCUAUAGGUUCUCAAAGGAUCUGCCUGUGAUGUAUCAUUAGAGUCGUCUCAGUGAAAGCAGGAACUCUGUGUCUUCUUCUCUCUGCCUUCUAUUCGUGAAACUUAUUACAUGCCUCCUAGCUCAUCGUAGGUGCUCAGUAUUUACUUAGUGUGUGAAAGACAGAAAAGCUCUUGGAAGCCUCAAGGGGUCACUUGGCUCGGCACUUUGAUCUCUUUGUAUAUUUGGCGAUUCAAUUCUUUCCUUUCCUGGGUUGAUGUGUACACUAUAUUCGAGGCACAAUCUAAGGCAUGAAGACAUAUCCAUACAUAGAGGUUCUUGCUUUCAAGGAACUCGUACAGCAGGUUUCUAUGUUAGGCUUUUCAAAUGCUCUAGAAGAAUGUGAACGUUCAGUAUGCUCCAUUUUCAUUUCAAAGAAAGAUCGUUUGACUUCCAUAGCAAAGGUGGAGACCUUCCAACGUUGAGUCCAAUACUUAUACCUUGACCAUUUCAGGCAAGUCUUGUGGUUCCUUCUGGAGGUGUGCGGCUCUUGCAGAAAUGUGAAGAUCUUCCAUCGCGGCGAGAGUGCGGCCCGUUGGCCCGACCUGCAGGGCAGAGCGAAAGGGAGGCGAAGCGCAAGGCUCUUAGGGCGCCCCGAGCCCACCGCCACCGUCUCAGGCCGUAUCAGCCUGAAGGCGCCCGAUCUCGUCUGAUCUCGGAAGCUAAGCAGGGUC